Molecule: long non-coding RNA, 503 nt
Filed under: Rattus norvegicus (Norway rat)
Lineage: Eukaryota; Metazoa; Chordata; Mammalia; Rodentia; Muridae
Description: long non-coding RNA NONRATT010483
Source: RNAcentral
AGGAAAAAAGGGUCUUUUCAUACUCCUGAAAUUCCUGACCAUCCAGCUAUUGGGCUUAUAGAUCUAGUUGUACUCAACUAAAAUAAUUUAAAUGUGAAUGAGGUGAACUUUCAGAGAAAUUGUCUGUUUAAGAAACUUGUAGUGUUCCUGGUUCACUUCACUCAAGUUUUUCAUCACUGGUGGCACAACAGGUGCCAAGGACUUAAAGAUCAGAUAGAGCCUCUCAAAAAUAUCUUACAGCAAGGAUGGCAAGAAUGUACAGAUGCUUAUGACAAGUGUCAUGAAAAGGAUAACUGCUGGGGCUGGAGAGAUGGCUCAGCGGUUAAGAGCACCCGACUCUCUUCUAGAGGUCCUGAGUUCAAUUCCCAGCACCACAUGGAGGCUCACAACCAUCUGUAAUAAGAUCUGAUGCCCUCUUCUGGUGUGUCUGAAGACAGCUACAGUGUACUUAUAAUAAAUAAAUAAAUAAGUAAAUAAAUAUUAAUAAAUAAAUAGAAGGAUAA